This 539-nucleotide long non-coding RNA is filed under the name Vigna radiata. Its description in RNAcentral is "long non-coding RNA (VRAD_LNC003925)". The record is from RNAcentral. Lineage: Eukaryota; Viridiplantae; Streptophyta; Magnoliopsida; Fabales; Fabaceae.
GCCUUCGUCACAAGUCGGAGAUGGUUAUUUUUGAAGCUGCUAGAGCAAUAACAGAGCUCAAUGGUGUAACAAGUCGAGAAUUAACUCCAGCAAUUACUGUUCUUCAACUAUUUUUAAGUUCUUCUAAGCCAGUGUUGAGAUUUGCUGCUGUCCGCACCUUGAACAAGGUAAUAAUUUCUCAAAUUUUACUGAACUAAUUUUUAUGCUGCUGCAGAAUAAUGGGAUAUUUGAAAUGUCACUCAAGUCUGAAAGCUCCCUGCCCGUGUUCUUUUUCCUUUUAUGACUUGGAGGAGUUGAUAGAAAAUCAAUACUCUCACUGUUUGCUAAAUAUUCUAAUGAUAUAUGUGAUGGUCAAACUGGACAGGGUUUAAUCAUUAAUGUGACUUUGAAACUUUACAGGUGGCAAUGACACAUCCAAUGGCAGUCACCAACUGCAACAUUGAUAUGGAAAGUUUAAUCUCUGAUCAGAACAGAAGCAUUGCUACCCUUGCUAUUACUACACUUUUGAAAACAGGAAAUGAAUCUAGUGUGGAUCGUCU